RNAcentral lists this ribosomal RNA (263 nucleotides) under uncultured Staphylococcus sp. RNAcentral describes it as "partial 16S ribosomal RNA". It matches the Rfam family "Bacterial small subunit ribosomal RNA", at positions 99 to 354 of the family's 1533-position model. The record is from RNAcentral. Lineage: Bacteria; Bacillati; Bacillota; Bacilli; Caryophanales; Staphylococcaceae.
CGGACGGGUGAGUAACACGUGGAUAACCUACCUAUAAGACUGGGAUAACUUCGGGAAACCGGAGCUAAUACCGGAUAAUAUAUUGAACCGCAUGGUUCAAUAGUGAAAGACGGUUUUGCUGUCACUUAUAGAUGGAUCCGCGCUGCAUUAGCUAGUUGGUAAGGUAACGGCUUACCAAGGCAACGAUGCGUAGCCGACCUGAGAGGGUGAUCGGCCACACUGGAACUGAGACACGGUCCAGACUCCUACGGGAGGCAGCAGAA